Molecule: ribosomal RNA, 943 nt
Filed under: uncultured archaeon
Lineage: Archaea
Description: bacterial SSU rRNA
Rfam family: Archaeal small subunit ribosomal RNA
Source: RNAcentral
UUCCGGUUGAUCCUGCCGGACCCUACUGCUAUCGGGGUGGGACUAAGACAUGCGAGUCGAGCGUCUCCAGCUAUGGUGAGACGCGGCAGACGGCUCAGUAACACGUGGCUAACCUACCCUCAGGACAGGGACAAACCCGGGAAACUGGGGCUAAUACCCGAUAGGCGAGGGCGCCUGGAAUGGUUCUUCACCCAAAGGGCUUUGGAAGCAUGCUUUUCAAAGUCGCCUGGGGAUGGGGCCGCGUCCGAUCAGGUUGUUGGUGAGGUAACGGCUCACCAAGCCUAUAACCGGUACGGGCCGUGAGAGCGGUAGCCCGGAGAUGGGCACUGAGACAAGGGCCCAGGCCCUACGGGGCGCAGCAGUCGCGAAAACUCCGCAAUGCACGAAAGUGUGACGGGGCUACCCCGAGUGCCGUCCGCUGAGGAUGGCUUUUCCUCGGUGUAACUAGCCGGGGGAAUAAGGAGAGGGCAAGACUGGUGUCAGCCGCCGCGGUAAUACCAGCUCUCCGAGUGGUAGGGAUGAUUAUUGGGCCUAAAGCGUCCGUAGCCGGCUUAGCAAGUCUCCUGUUAAAUUCAGCGACCUAAUCGUUGAGCCGCGGGAGAUACUACUAGGCUAGGAGGCGGGAGAGGCCGACGGUACUUCCGGGGUAGGGGUGAAAUCCUAUAAUCCCGGGCGGACCACCAGUGGCGAAGGCUGUCGGCUAGAACGCGCUCGACGGUGAGGGACGAAAGCUGGGGGAGCGAACCGGAUUAGAUACCCGGGUAGUCCCAGCCGUAAACGAUGCGGGCUAGGUGUUGGGGUGGCUACGUGCUGCUUCAGUGCUGCAGGGAAGCCAUUAAGGUCCGCUCGCCUGGGGAGUACGGGCCGCAAGGCUGAAACUUAAAGGAAUUGGCCGGGGGAGCAUCACAGGCGUGAAGCUUGGCGGUUCAAUGAUCAACGCCGG